CAAGGUUUCCGUAGGUGAACCUGCGGAAGGAUCAUUAACGAGUUCAACGUCUGGGGAUAAAGGUUGUUGCUGGCUUUUCUAGCAUGGUGCACGCCUUGAUCCUGGGAUGUCUUUGUCCUCUUUACACCUGUGCACCAUCUGUAGUUAUGGGGGGGUCACUGAGGUUGUUUGAUCUCGAACGCCUUCCCCUCGCUACGAAUGCAUUUUUACAUCAUCUUAAUAAAAAGUUUUUGGAACGUUUGUCCCUACAAAUGAAAUACAACUUUCAGCAACGGAUCUCUUGGCUCUCGCAUCGAUGAAGAACGCAGCGAAAUGCGAUAAGUAAUGUGAAUUGCAGAAUUCAGUGAAUCAUCGAAUCUUUGAACGCACCUUGCGCUCCUUGGUAUUCCGAGGAGCAUGCCUGUUUGAGUGUCAUGAAAUUCUCAACUGCUUUGGCUUUUUUGUUCAAAGUGAAGUUGGAUUUGGAGUGGGAUUGUCGGCUUAGGUUUCGGCUGCUCCAAAAAACAUUAAAAGCCCUUUUCUAAUCUUGGCAAGAAAAAGUAUCUUUGACGUGAUAACUCCUCUACGUCGCAGAGAAAGCCUCGAGCUUGAAGGCGCAUUAUAACAUCUCUUAUAUGCGGCUUCUAUUGGGAAACCCCGGCUUUUCUAACAGGAUUUUUGUCGUUCGACCUCAAAUCAGGCAGGACUACCCGCUGAA
Molecule: ribosomal RNA, 697 nt
Filed under: Hydnellum aurantiacum 'Form 2'
Lineage: Eukaryota; Fungi; Basidiomycota; Agaricomycetes; Thelephorales; Thelephoraceae
Description: eukaryotic LSU rRNA
Rfam family: 5.8S ribosomal RNA (bases 261-414)
Source: RNAcentral